This 73-nucleotide transfer RNA is filed under the name bacterium SCGC AG-212-C10. It matches the Rfam family "tRNA". From Rfam's summary of the family: Transfer RNA (tRNA) molecules are approximately 80 nucleotides in length. Their secondary structure includes four short double-helical elements and three loops (D, anti-codon, and T loops). Further hydrogen bonds mediate the characteristic L-shaped molecular structure. tRNAs have two regions of fundamental functional importance: the anti-codon, which is responsible for specific mRNA codon recognition, and the 3' end, to which the tRNAs corresponding amino acid is attached (by aminoacyl-tRNA synthetases). tRNAs cope with the degeneracy of the genetic code in two manners: having more than one tRNA (with a specific anti-codon) for a particular amino acid; and 'wobble' base-pairing, i.e. permitting non-standard base-pairing at the 3rd anti-codon position. The record is from Rfam by way of RNAcentral.
GGGGCCGUAGCUCAGCUGGGAGAGCGCCGCCUUUGCAAGGCGGAUGUCAGGAGUUCGAGCCUCCUCGGCUCCA